RNAcentral lists this ribosomal RNA (787 nucleotides) under uncultured soil bacterium. RNAcentral describes it as "bacterial SSU rRNA". It matches the Rfam family "Bacterial small subunit ribosomal RNA", at positions 8 to 796 of the family's 1533-position model. The record is from RNAcentral.
AGAGUUUGAUCAUGGCUCAGGACGAACGCUGGCGGCGUGGAUUAGGCAUGCAAGUUGAGCGACAGACAGGCUUCGGCCUGUUAUGGAGCAGCGAACGGGUGAGUAACACGUGAACAACCUGUCCCUACAUUCCGGAUAAUUGGCCGAAAGGCCUUGUAAUACGGGGGAGGACCCUUGGGGAGCAUUCUUCGAGGAGGGAACGAGCAAUCGGUGCAGGGAGGGGUUCGCGGCCUAUCAGUUAGUUGGUGGGGUAACGGCCUACCAAGACGACGACGGGUAGCUGGUCUGAGAGGAUGGUCAGCCACAUUGGAACUGAGACACUGUCCAGACUCCUACGGGAGGCUGCAGUCGAGAAUCUUGGGCAAUGCACGAAAGUGUGACCCAGCGACGCCGCGUGAAGGAUGAAGGCCCUCUGGGUCGUAAACUUCUUUUAUGAGGAAAGAACGGGGAGCAAUCCCCUUGACGGUACCUCAUGAAUAAGCCACGGCUAACUACGUGCCAGCAGCCGCGGUAAUACGUAGGUGGCAAGCGUUGUCCGGAUUUACUGGGCGUAAAGCGUAUGCAGGCGGAUGGUUAAGUAGGAAGUGAAAGGUUGGAGCUCAACUCCGACACUGCUUCCUAUACUGGCUAUCUUGAGUGGCGGAGAGGAAGACGGAACGACACGUGUAGCGGUGAAAUGCGUUGAUAUGUGUCGGAACACCAAUGGCGAAAGCAGUCUUCUGGACGCAAACUGACGCUGAGAUACGAAAGCCAAGGGAGCAAACAGGAUUAGAUACCCCCGUAGUCC